CCUCAUGUAUUUCAUCUUCCUCAUGGACCUAAGUAGUUAGCCCUAGGAGACAAAAUCUACAGCACCCAUUUCAGCGUAUUCAGCUCCUCCUCUCACCAUAAACAGGGAACUAGCCGGAAAACGCACAGGCAAAACCUGCCUCGCACUAGCUCGUCGCUACCACACCCGACCAGCGGCAACUCCAAAACCAUCACCCCAUAACCGUUACCUUUCUCACCAGACCCGUCUCCAACCAAAGCUCGCCGAGAAAAUGAACUCCAGCAGAAAACCAGCAAACUCAGAGUCACCGUAGAUCGCCACCAAAACUUGUUGGAAUCCAGCAGUAACCUUCGAACAAUAUCCCAAGAAAUCGGCCAGAUCUCCACCUGAACUCAAAAGCCGGCCGUCACCCUUACAAAAGAGAAUGAGCAGAUUCCAUCCAACAAAGUAGCUCUUCAGUCGUUUCUAUUUUUAGAUCUCCAGAGUUUUCAGUUUUCGUUUAAAUUGAAGAAAAUUCCAAACCAUACAAACAUUAAAGAAAUUUGCUGAUUCUUCAUUUUAAUUCUUGGAUUCUGGUGCUAAAUCAUGGGUGUUCGUUUGAAUUUGGAGUCGUCUUGCGUUCGGAUUGCCCGUGCCAUUUCUGGGGGUGUACAUAAAAAGGAGGUGUGACAGCUCUGUCGACUCUGCUAGGGACCAGAACCCAGAUCUUCUGGUUCAUAGUUUAGAAUUCGAGCUUAAAGUAAUUGUUAUAUAUACCUUUAUUGAUUGUUUGAUUUUAUUUACAUGUUUGGGCCUAUUGUACUAAAUAUUGUUUUUUACCUCUUUGAUAUUACCUGAACUGUAUAUAAACUACUACGAAACCCUUCUCUUCCCAUCUUUGGGGAUGUGCUCGCUGGUCGAGACUCCUUAUUCUGUUAGUGUCAUACCUUGAAAUAAGAAAGAGGUUCAGACAAGUUACUAAGUCAGAUGGCGUUUUGGUUACACUGUCUAGAACACAUACCCAGGUUUUGAGUCUAGAAUAACUCAGCCUCAUGCCAGAUCCCUAGUAGAUACGUUUGUUUGCAUCAUAUGCAUUUGAUUUAGGGGAUUCAAUACAAGGGUUGGGUCCGUCUAGGACAGGUAUACCCCAAAAAAUAAAAGACCAUCCUGAUGCAUCUUAUGUGCUACAUGUUACAUUUAUUCAAGGGUAAAAGGAUCAUUUGACAGACCAGUGAUAGCUGAGGAUAAAAAAAGUAAAAAAUAAUGAGAAAAAGAAAUAAGAAAGAAAAAAAGAAAAGAAAAGAGAUGGUGAAGAUAAAGCGAGUGGGGUCCAAUUACGUUUUCCAUCAUAUUUUUGUGAAGAAAAACAAAAAGAGCUUGAAAAAUUCAAAAAGAUUCUGCCUUUUUUUAUAUCAUUUUUCAAAAAGCAAAAAUAAAAAAAGAAAAAUAAAUCCAAAAAGAGUUCACAUGUUUCAUCAUUUUUCAAAAAAAAAGAAAAGACAAAAGAAAAAAUGUUUUCUCUAAAAUUAGUUAUUUUUUAAAUUCUUACCGGUAUCCAAUUUGCCCUGAACUACGCAUACCUGAUUCUCGUCUUUUGGGGCGUGAUACGCCACAUAGGGUUCGGUCUACCUAGUAAAUAUUAGGUUUUUUAGCCACCUUUUGGCUAAAUAAGUCAUUUCCCAAAAAUAAGCGCAAUUAUGUCUUGAAUUUGUCUAAUAGGGAAUGUUAUUGUCUCACAUAGUGUUGAUUUAAGUUUUCUGUACAGGUGUGGAUUUACCUACUG
Molecule: long non-coding RNA, 1741 nt
Filed under: Nicotiana benthamiana
Lineage: Eukaryota; Viridiplantae; Streptophyta; Magnoliopsida; Solanales; Solanaceae
Description: long non-coding RNA (NBEN_LNC032703)
Source: RNAcentral